This 496-nucleotide ribosomal RNA is filed under the name uncultured bacterium. RNAcentral's name for it is "partial 16S ribosomal RNA". It matches the Rfam family "Bacterial small subunit ribosomal RNA", at positions 28 to 506 of the family's 1533-position model. The record is from RNAcentral.
GAUGAACGCUGGCGGCGUGCCUAAUACAUGCAAGUCGAGCGAACGGACGAGAAGCUUGCUUCUCUGAUGUUAGCGGCGGACGGGUGAGUAACACGUGGAUAACCUACCUAUAAGACUGGGAUAACUUCGGGAAACCGGAGCUAAUACCGGAUAAUAUUUUGAACCGCGUGGUUCAAAAGUGAAAGACGGUCUUGCUGUCACUUAUAGAUGGAUCCGCGCUGCAUUAGCUAGUUGGUAAGGUAACGGCUUACCAAGGCAACGAUGCAUAGCCGACCUGAGAGGGUGAUCGGCCACACUGGAACUGAGACACGGUCCAGACUCCUACGGGAGGCAGCAGUAGGGAAUCUUCCGCAAUGGGCGAAAGCCUGACGGAGCAACGCCGCGUGAGUGAUGAAGGUCUUCGGAUCGUAAAACUCUGUUAUUAGGGAAGAACAUAUGUGUAAGUAACUGUGCACAUCUUGACGGUACCUAAUCAGAAAGCCACGGCUAACUACGU